AUUGAACGCUGGCGGCAGGCCUAACACAUGCAAGUCGAACGGUAGCACAGAGAGCUUGCUCUCGGGUGACGAGUGGCGGACGGGUGAGUAAUGUCUGGGAAACUGCCCGAUGGAGGGGGAUAACUACUGGAAACGGUAGCUAAUACCGCAUAACGUCGCAAGACCAAAGUGGGGGACCUUCGGGCCCCACACCAUCGGAUGUGCCCAGAUGGGAUUAGCUAGGAGGGGGGGUAAUGGCUCACCUAGGCGACGAUCCCUAGCUGGUCUGGGAGGAUGACCAGCCACACUGGAACUGAGACACGGUCCAGACUCCUACGGGAGGCAGCAGUGGGGAAUAUUGCACAAUGGGCGCAAGCCUGAUGCAGCCAUGCCGCGUGUAUGAAGAAGGCCUUCGGGUUGUAAAGUACUUUCAGCGGGGAGGAAGGCGGUGAAGUUAAUAGCUUCACCGAUUGACGUUACCCGCAGAAGAAGCACCGGCUAACUCCGUGCCAGCCGCCGCAGUAA
Molecule: ribosomal RNA, 504 nt
Filed under: uncultured bacterium
Lineage: Bacteria
Description: partial 16S ribosomal RNA
Rfam family: Bacterial small subunit ribosomal RNA
Source: RNAcentral